This 99-nucleotide transfer RNA is filed under the name Phycisphaeraceae bacterium. Its description in RNAcentral is "tRNA-Gly". Lineage: Bacteria; Pseudomonadati; Planctomycetota; Phycisphaerae; Phycisphaerales; Phycisphaeraceae. The record is from RNAcentral.
AAAGGCAGUAGAGAAAUGGCGUUUGCUAGCGAAAACUUGAGCCCUACUCCCCUUGGCCCCCUUGCCAAGGUAGAAGUCGAGGGUUCAAGUCCCUUCGCC